CGGACGGGUGAGUAACACGUGGAUAACCCACCUAUAAGACUGGGAUAACUUCGGGAAACCGGAGCUAAUACCGGAUAAUAUAUUGAACCGCAUGGUUCAAUAGUGAAAGACGGUUUUGCUGUCACUUAUAGAUGGAUCCGCGCCGCAUUAGCUAGUUGGUAAGGUAACGGCUUACCAAGGCAACGAUGCGUAGCCGACCUGAGAGAGUGAUCGGCCACACUGGAACUGAGACACGGUCCAG
Molecule: ribosomal RNA, 241 nt
Filed under: uncultured Staphylococcus sp.
Lineage: Bacteria; Bacillati; Bacillota; Bacilli; Caryophanales; Staphylococcaceae
Description: partial 16S ribosomal RNA
Rfam family: Bacterial small subunit ribosomal RNA
Source: RNAcentral